ACACGUUAGUACAGUAAAGAAGUGAUGUAGUCGAUGUAAUCAAUCAAUGUAUAUUGAUACUCUAACCUAUGUUAGAGAAAUAGGGAUUUAUUGGUGAAAUAAUGCAAUUAAAAUUGUUGCUCGAAUGAUGCAUACACUAAAAGUGUUGGACCUGCUUGUGUCACAAGAUUUAUCCAGAAUUAUUUGAUUCACAUGUAUACUUCUUGUGAGUAUAUUAUGUGGGCUCAUAAGGUAUUUGAUAGCAUGCAGGGGAAGAAUUUGGUUUCAUGGAAUUCCAUGUUAGAUGGCUAUGCUAAGUAUGGAGAAAUGGAGCUCUUUGAUUGUCGGUUAUGUGAAGGCACCAUGUUAAGGAAUGCACACGAGAAUGUGGCAGAUGUAUUCUCUAGUCCAAGAAGAAACAAGUAUUGGGGGAGUGUUACUCUGAAAGACAUUCAUAUAAAUGUUAUAAUUAUUAUACUAAUGUUAAAAACAUUAUAGUACGAACUAAAAGUGCAUUGUUUGGUCCUUCCAAGAUUACAUACCCGACCAGAGCAGAGAGAAAAAGGAGACAUAUUAUGUGAGCCUCCAGUUUGUGUUUUCUGUAAAGAGUAGAAAACUAAUUAUUUGUACUGUAUUUUGUACAAUUCUUGUAGUUCUAGAACAAUACAUGAAGUUUAUAAUUUGACUGUGAAGUAAGUAGUUAUAUAUAAGUUACUUUUAUAAUCAA
Cicer arietinum (chickpea) is the source of this 706-nucleotide long non-coding RNA. RefSeq lists it as uncharacterized. The record is from RefSeq and is a predicted model, not a curated record. NCBI's taxonomy places the organism in Eukaryota, Viridiplantae, Streptophyta, Magnoliopsida, Fabales, Fabaceae.